UCAUUUGUACCCUCAAGCUCUGCUUGGUGUUGGGUGUUUGUCCUCUCCUUUGCGAUUGGACUCGCCUUAAAAUAAUUGGCAGCCAGUGUUUUGGUAUUGAAGCGCAGCACAAUUUGCGAUUCUAUCCGGUAAUACUGGCGUCCAUAAGCCUAUUUUACACUUUUGACCUCGGAUCAGGUAGGGAUACCCGCUGAACUUAA
This 200-nucleotide unclassified non-coding RNA is filed under the name soil metagenome. RNAcentral describes it as "partial contains internal transcribed spacer 2 and large subunit ribosomal RNA". The record is from RNAcentral.